Molecule: ribosomal RNA, 509 nt
Filed under: uncultured Bacteroidales bacterium
Lineage: Bacteria; Pseudomonadati; Bacteroidota; Bacteroidia; Bacteroidales
Description: bacterial SSU rRNA
Rfam family: Bacterial small subunit ribosomal RNA
Source: RNAcentral
AGAGUUUGAUCCUGGCUCAGGAUGAACGCUAGCGGCAGGCUUAACACAUGCAAGUCGAGGGGCAUCGGGAGGGAAGCUUGCUUUCCUUGCCGGCGACCGGCGCACGGGUGAGUAACACGUAUGCAACCUGCCCUCUUCAGGGGGACAACCUUCCGAAAGGGAGGCUAAUCCCGCGUAUAUCGGUUUCGGGCAUCCGAGAUCGAGGAAAGAUUCAUCGGAAGAGGAUGGGCAUGCGGCGCAUUAGCUUGACGGCGGGGUAACGGCCCACCGUGGCGACGAUGCGUAGGGGUUCUGAGAGGAAGGUCCCCCACACUGGUACUGAGACACGGACCAGACUCCUACGGGAGGCAGCAGUGAGGAAUAUUGGUCAAUGGGAGAGAUCCUGAACCAGCCAAGCCGCGUGAGGGAAGACGGCCCUAUGGGCUGUAAACCUCUUUUGUCGGAGAACAAAACCCGGGACGUGUCCCGGACUGCGUGUAUCCGAAGAAAAAGCAUCGGCUAACUCCGUG